Gymnothorax javanicus (giant moray) is the source of this 70-nucleotide non-coding RNA. The record is from the annotation of a GenBank genome assembly. Lineage: Eukaryota; Metazoa; Chordata; Actinopteri; Anguilliformes; Muraenidae.
GGUGAUGUAGUAUAGGGGUUAAAGCAUCGGAAUGCAACUCAGAUGACCUGGGUUCAAUCCCCAGUCAGCA